Long non-coding RNA from Raphanus sativus (radish), 1073 nucleotides. RefSeq lists it as uncharacterized. The record is from RefSeq and is a predicted model, not a curated record. NCBI's taxonomy places the organism in Eukaryota, Viridiplantae, Streptophyta, Magnoliopsida, Brassicales, Brassicaceae. The transcript has 2 exons.
AAAUCUUUCUCAUAAAGAAACUCUCUUUUUCUUCAUUGUUUCUCUGGAAAAUCCAAAGCUUUAAUUUCAUUGUCUACUUCCUGUCGUUUUUUGUAAUGUGUUUUCUAAAAUUGAGAUAAAGAGUAUUAGUGGUGAAGGAGGAGACUAAGCUACGAAAGAGCUGCUGUCGGAGUUGCAGGGAUGGUAACAUCGUCGAUCGUCACCACAACCACCAACGCCAUCUCUCCCAUCCGCCAUCGCUCGUCACCACCUCCACCACCAUCGCUUCUCAGAUCCGCCUUCGCCGGUCUCCGUCUUCAACGGAGUCGCGACCACCACUAUCUGAAGCUCUAUCUCUAACAACAUAUUCUCGAUUUGAAAGUUGGAAUCUUUAUCAUCUCAAUUGUGUGUAUAUAUGUUUUCAGAGCUUUUACUCAGAAGAAGCUCGAAGAUCUCAAAAUCACUCUUUCCCUCCCUCGCUUCCCAAUCUCAGAACAAUGACUUAUACCCCCCAUUUCCAGGCAACCUACGAGAAAGUUAUUGAUGAUGAGGCUGUGAAAGCAGCGGUCUUGGUCUUGAAUAAGGUCACACCAUCAACAUAGCUUCUCUGCCUUUGAUGGUUCUACUUCGUUAUUCCCUUUUCAGGGAACUAGAGUUAUAGAUGAAUCUCAUGAUCAAAAUACCACUGAUCAUGUGUCUUCUGGUUUCAGCGAUGAGUCGGAGAUGCAGCGGCAUUGAGAUAGGUUCAAGACGGAGUGAGAAGCAGAACACGAGGCAGAGGAGCUCUCGUGAAGAUAUAAGUGGAGAAGCUCGUUAUUGAGGAUGAUGGUCCAUGGGAGCUGGUCUGAGUUUUGAUAUUGAAGAAGAUGAGAAGCUGGUUGGAGAAGAUGAGAUGGGAGCAGAGAUUAGAGUUUGAGAUUGAAUGUUAAUGUAUGCAGCUCUUUGAUAGGUUGAACGUAGAGUUUUUUUUUUUUUGAAACAUGAACGUAGAGUUAGCCAUCACAAAUCGUACUUGGAAGUUGGAAAUAUUGUCUUAAAUCCUUAUCUCAAAUCCUUGUAUGUUUAAUAAAAAACAUAUGGAAUUUUAUUUCUUA